CCUACGGGAGGCAGCAGUGAGGAAUAUUGGUCAAUGGACGCAAGUCUGAACCAGCCAUGCCGCGUGCAGGAAGACGGCUCUAUGAGUUGUAAACUGCUUUUGUACGAGGGUAAACGCAGAUACGCGUAUCUGUCUGAAAGUAUCGUACGAAUAAGGAUCGGCUAACUCCGUGCCAGCAGCCGCGGUAAUACGGAGGAUUCAAGCGUUAUCCGGAUUUAUUGGGUUUAAAGGGUGCGUAGGGGGUCGGAUAAAGUAGGGGUGAAAGCCCGAGGCUCAACUUGGGAAUUGCCUCUGAUACUGUUCGGCUAGAGAGUAGUUGCGGUAGGCGGAAUGUAUGGUGUAGCGGUGAAAUGCUUAGAGAUCAUACAGAACACCGAUUGCGAAGGCAGCUUACCAAGCUACUUCUGACGUUGAGGCACGAAAGCGUGGGGAGCAAACAGGAUUAGAUACCCGGGUAGUC
This 460-nucleotide ribosomal RNA is filed under the name uncultured bacterium. RNAcentral's name for it is "partial 16S ribosomal RNA". It matches the Rfam family "Bacterial small subunit ribosomal RNA", at positions 338 to 795 of the family's 1533-position model. The record is from RNAcentral.